RNAcentral lists this ribosomal RNA (121 nucleotides) under Methanobacterium alkalithermotolerans. Lineage: Archaea; Methanobacteriati; Methanobacteriota; Methanobacteria; Methanobacteriales; Methanobacteriaceae. The record is from RNAcentral.
UUUGGCGGCCAUGGCGGAGGGGUUAUACCUGAUCUCGUUUCGUCUCAGAAGUGAAGUCCUCCUGCGUUUUGGGUGUGUACUGUGGAUGGUUUUCUAUGGGAAGUUCAUAGCGCUGCCAACC